AGCAGUAGCCGCGGUAAUACGUAGGUGGCAAGCGUUGUCCGGAAUUAUUGGGCGUAAAGGGCUCGCAGGCGGUUUCUUAAGUCUGAUGUGAAAGCCCCCGGCUCAACCGGGGAGGGUCAUUGGAAACUGGGAAACUUGAGUGCAGAAGAGGGGAGUGGAAUUCCACGUGUAGCGGUGAAAUGCGUAGAGAUGUGGAGGAACACCAGUGGCGAAGGCGACUCUCUGGUCUGUAACUGACGCUGAGGAGCGAAGGCGUGGGGAGCGAACAGGAUUAGAUACCGCGUAGUCCCUGUCUCUUAUACA
Molecule: ribosomal RNA, 303 nt
Filed under: uncultured bacterium
Lineage: Bacteria
Description: partial 16S ribosomal RNA
Rfam family: Bacterial small subunit ribosomal RNA
Source: RNAcentral